UAUUUAUGCUCUGGAGGUGAUAUUUCUUUUAGUGGUCAGGAAGUACCUCUUGUAGUACACAGACACUCAAGAUUUUGUUACCUGAGCACAUACUGUAGGGAUAACUGGGUUAAUGUGCUUUAUUAUGCUUUAAAGCUAUACCUACUAAGGUGAUGUAUCUAUCUAGUCUGUAAGUUUAUAGACAGUUUGAAGGAAAAUCGU
RNAcentral lists this long non-coding RNA (201 nucleotides) under Homo sapiens (human). Its description in RNAcentral is "HSALNT0064914". Lineage: Eukaryota; Metazoa; Chordata; Mammalia; Primates; Hominidae. The record is from RNAcentral.